This 365-nucleotide ribosomal RNA is filed under the name unidentified activated sludge bacterium AI391. RNAcentral describes it as "bacterial SSU rRNA". It matches the Rfam family "Bacterial small subunit ribosomal RNA", at positions 954 to 1319 of the family's 1533-position model. The record is from RNAcentral.
AUGCAACGCGAAAAACCUUACCCACCUUUGACAUGUACGGAAUCCUUUAGAGAUAGAGGAGUGCUCGAAAGAGAGCCGUAACACAGGUGCUGCAUGGCUGUCGUCAGCUCGUGUCGUGAGAUGUUGGGUUAAGUCCCGCAACGAGCGCAACCCUUGUCAUUAGUUGCUACAUUCAGUUGGGCACUCUAAUGAGACUGCCGGUGACAAACCGGAGGAAGGUGGGGAUGACGUCAAGUCCUCAUGGCCCUUAUAGGUGGGGCUACACACGUCAUACAAUGGAUGGUACAAAGGGUCGCCAACCCGCGAGGGGGAGCCAAUCCCAUAAAGCCAUUCGUAGUCCGGAUCGCAGUCUGCAACUCGACUGC